This 60-nucleotide transfer RNA is filed under the name Dipodomys ordii (Ord's kangaroo rat). It matches the Rfam family "tRNA", at positions 7 to 64 of the family's 71-position model. Rfam says of the family: Transfer RNA (tRNA) molecules are approximately 80 nucleotides in length. Their secondary structure includes four short double-helical elements and three loops (D, anti-codon, and T loops). The record is from Rfam by way of RNAcentral. Lineage: Eukaryota; Metazoa; Chordata; Mammalia; Rodentia; Heteromyidae.
GUGGCUCUGUGGUAGAGUGCUUGCCUUGCAUGCAUGAAGCCCUGGGUUCGAUUCCUCAGC